AGGAGGCAGCAGUGGGGAAUAUUGGACAAUGGGGGAAACCCUGAUCCAGCCAUGCCGCGUGAGUGAAGAAGGCCUUCGGGUUGUAAAGCUCUUUCGGCGGGGACGAUGAUGACGGUACCCGCAUAAGAAGCCCCGGCAAACUUCGUGCCAGCAGCCGCGGCAAUACGAAGGGGGCUAGCGUUGUUCGGAAUUACUGGGCGUAAAGCGCGCGUAGGCGGUGAUCUUUGUCAGAGGUGAAAUCCCGAGGCUCAACUUCGGAAUUGCCUUUGAAACGGGAUUGCUUGAGUCCGAGAGAGGAUGGCGGAAUUCCUAGUGUAGAGGUGAAAUUCGUAGAUAUUAGGAAGAACACCGGUGGCGAAGGCGGCCAUCUGGCUCGGUACUGACGCUCAGGCGCGAAAGCGUGGGGAGCAAACAGGAUUAGAUACCCUGGUAGC
RNAcentral lists this ribosomal RNA (434 nucleotides) under uncultured bacterium. RNAcentral describes it as "bacterial SSU rRNA". It matches the Rfam family "Bacterial small subunit ribosomal RNA", at positions 343 to 794 of the family's 1533-position model. The record is from RNAcentral.